CGACGUAAUUUGAAGGUUCCUGAUCGUCGCCGUGUCGAUUUGCCCUUAGGGACUAGAGAUUUUCGACAAGGGUUUUCUCUCUCAUCAAAAUGAGGUCCCUUGUGCCUUCGAUGUAGUUUGUUUUUCACUUAUCGCCGGUGUAGUUCGUCGCUUUCUCUUUUCAUCUCUCCUUUUCUUCUAUGUUUGAGUGAGGGUCUUCCCUCUGCUCUUGACGGGG
RNAcentral lists this long non-coding RNA (217 nucleotides) under Elaeis guineensis (African oil palm). Its description in RNAcentral is "long non-coding RNA (EGUI_LNC049778)". Lineage: Eukaryota; Viridiplantae; Streptophyta; Magnoliopsida; Arecales; Arecaceae. The record is from RNAcentral.